This 484-nucleotide ribosomal RNA is filed under the name uncultured bacterium. Its description in RNAcentral is "partial 16S ribosomal RNA". It matches the Rfam family "Bacterial small subunit ribosomal RNA", at positions 28 to 507 of the family's 1533-position model. The record is from RNAcentral.
AUUGAACGCUGGCGGCAUGCUUUACACAUGCAAGUCGAACGGCAGCGCGGGCUUCGGCCUGGCUGCGAGUGGCGAACGGGUGAGUAAUGCAUCGGAACGUGCCCAGUAGUGGGGGAGAGCCCGGCGAAAGCCGGAUUAAUACCGCAUACGACCUGAGGGUGAAAGCGGGGGACCGAAAGGCCUCGCGCUAUUGGAGCGGCCGAUGUCGGAUUAGCUAGUUGGUGGGGUAAAGGCUUACCAAGGCGACGAUCCGUAGCUGGUCUGAGAGGACGACCAGCCACACUGGGACUGAGACACGGCCCAGACUCCUACGGGAGGCAGCAGUGGGGAAUUUUGGACAAUGGGGGCAACCCUGAUCCAGCCAUGCCGCGUGCGGGAAGAAGGCCUUCGGGUUGUAAAGCGCUUUUGUUCGGGAAGAAAUCCUCUGGGCUAAUACCCCGGGGGGAUGACGGUACCGGAAGAAUAAGCACCGGCUAACUACGUG